Molecule: non-coding RNA, 72 nt
Organism: Bos taurus (domestic cattle)
Lineage: Eukaryota; Metazoa; Chordata; Mammalia; Artiodactyla; Bovidae
Source: Rfam
UCCCUGGUAGCUCAGUUGGUGAAGAAUCCGCUUGCAAAGCAGGAGACCCAGGUUCAAUCCCUGGGUGGGGAA